AGGUGAACCUGCGGAAGGAUCAUAGUAAUCGUCUUUGACGUUCUGUUCCGUCGUCCUCGGGACGUUAAGGUGCUCUGGUCGAGGAUAAACGACCCCUCUGACCGAGGCUAAGCAGUCGCUGUGUUACCUCUGUCCGAGGCACACGUUAAAGAUCGUUCCGCGUUGUGAGUCUAACAAGUUGUAAACUUUUACAACCGGCAGCGCUGGAUCCCUUGGCACGUCAUUCGAUGAAGACCGUUGCAAAUUGCGAUAAAGUGAUGUGAUGCGCAAGUCCACCACUUAUACGUGAAUCAUCGAGUUGUUGAACGCAUUGCACCGCGCCCUAAUCCGGCUGCGGUAUGCCCCUUUGAGCGUCAUUUAUUCCUUCGGGAGUCUUUCCUUGCGGAAGACCCGAGUUCGGAGUCCUCGGUCUCUGGAUCGUGUUCUCUUAGAUGCGUCGCGCCGAUCGCCUGAUGGGUACUCUAAUGCCUGAGCGUGGAGUCCCUCUGGAGUUGAGACGUGCUUGACCGGCCGUUGGGCUCGCGUCACCAAGUCCGUGUCCUUUGGGACGGCGGUACUACAACGCAUGACCUCAUUGGGGUAGGACAACCCGCUAGACUUAAGCAUAUUAAUCAG
This 615-nucleotide ribosomal RNA is filed under the name uncultured Tulasnella. RNAcentral describes it as "eukaryotic LSU rRNA". The stretch from base 193 to 356 matches the Rfam family "5.8S ribosomal RNA". The record is from RNAcentral. Lineage: Eukaryota; Fungi; Basidiomycota; Agaricomycetes; Cantharellales; Tulasnellaceae.